Molecule: small nuclear RNA, 23 nt
Filed under: Arabidopsis thaliana (thale cress)
Lineage: Eukaryota; Viridiplantae; Streptophyta; Magnoliopsida; Brassicales; Brassicaceae
Description: snRNA_06761
Source: RNAcentral
UUGGAUGAUUCACUUGGAUGAUC